UGGGGAAUAUUGCACAAUGGGGAAAGCCCUGAUGCAGCAACGCCGCGUGAAGGAAGACGGUUUUCGGAUUGUAAACUUCUUUUCUUAGUGAAGAAGCAAGUGACGGUAGCUAAGGAAUAAGCAUCGGCUAACUACGUGCCAGCAGCCGCGGUAAUACGUAGGAUGCGAGCGUUAUCCGGAAUUACUGGGUGUAAAGGGAGCGCAGGCGGGACUGCAAGUUGGAUGUGAAAUACCGCAGCUUAACUGCGGAGCUGCAUCCAAAACUGUAGUUCUUGAGUGGAGUAGAGGCAAGCGGAAUUCCGAGUGUAGCGGUGAAAUGCGUAGAUAUUCGGAGGAACACCAGUGGCGAAGGCGGCUUGCUGGACGACAACUGACGCUGAGGCGCGAAAGCGUGGGGAGCAAACAGGAUUAGAUACCC
This 418-nucleotide ribosomal RNA is filed under the name uncultured bacterium. RNAcentral's name for it is "bacterial SSU rRNA". It matches the Rfam family "Bacterial small subunit ribosomal RNA", at positions 355 to 787 of the family's 1533-position model. The record is from RNAcentral.